RNAcentral lists this ribosomal RNA (468 nucleotides) under uncultured bacterium. Its description in RNAcentral is "partial 16S ribosomal RNA". It matches the Rfam family "Bacterial small subunit ribosomal RNA", at positions 28 to 507 of the family's 1533-position model. The record is from RNAcentral.
GACGAACGCUGGCGGCGUGCUUAACACAUGCAAGUCGAACGGAAAGGCCCUGCUUUUGUGGGGUGCUCGAGUGGCGAACGGGUGAGUAACACGUGAGUAACCUGCCCUUGACUUUGGGAUAACUUCAGGAAACUGGGGCUAAUACCGGAUAGGAGCUCCUGCUGCAUGGUGGGGGUUGGAAAGUUUCGGCGGUUGGGGAUGGACUCGCGGCUUAUCAGCUUGUUGGUGGGGUAGUGGCUUACCAAGGCUUUGACGGGUAGCCGGCCUGAGAGGGUGACCGGCCACAUUGGGACUGAGAUAAGGCCCAGACUCCUACGGGAGGCAGCAGUGGGGAAUAUUGCACAAUGGGCGGAAGCCUGAUGCAGCAACGCCGCGUGCGGGAUGAAGGCCUUCGGGUUGUAAACCGCUUUCGCCUGUGACGAAGCGUGAGUGACGGUAAUGGGUAAAGAAGCACCGGCUAACUACGUG